Molecule: ribosomal RNA, 253 nt
Filed under: uncultured bacterium
Lineage: Bacteria
Description: partial 16S ribosomal RNA
Rfam family: Bacterial small subunit ribosomal RNA
Source: RNAcentral
UACGAAGGGGGCUAGCGUUGUUCGGAAUUACUGGGCGUAAAGCGCGCGCAGGCGGUUCUUUAAGUCAGGGGUGAAAGCCCAGAGCUCAACUCUGGAAUUGCCUUUGAAACUAGAGAACUUGGGUACGGGAGAGGUGAGUGGAAUUCCGAGUGUAGAGGUGAAAUUCGUAGAUAUUCGGAAGAACACCAGUGGCGAAGGCGGCUUACUGGUCCGGUUCUGACGCUGAGGCGCGAAAGCGUGGGGAGCAAACAGG